Molecule: ribosomal RNA, 496 nt
Filed under: uncultured bacterium
Lineage: Bacteria
Description: partial 16S ribosomal RNA
Rfam family: Bacterial small subunit ribosomal RNA
Source: RNAcentral
GAUGAACGCUGGCGGCGUGCCUAAUACAUGCAAGUCGAGCGAACGGACGAGAAGCUUGCUUCUCUGAUGUUAGCGGCGGACGGGUGAGUAACACGUGGAUAACCUACCUAUAAGACUGGGAUAACUUCGGGAAACCGGAGCUAAUACCGGAUAAUAUUUUGAACCGCAUGGUUCAAAAGUGAAAGACGGUCUUGCUGUCACUUAUAGAUGGAUCCGCGCUGCAUUAGCUAGUUGGUAAGGUAACGGCUUACCAAGGCAACGAUGCAUAGCCGACCUGAGAGGGUGAUCGGCCACACUGGAACUGAGACACGGUCCAGAAUCCUAAGGGAGGCAGCAGUAGGGAAUCUUCCGCAAUGGGCGAAAGCCUGACGGAGCAACGCCGCGUGAGUGAUGAAGGUCUUCGGAUCGUAAAACUAUGUUAUUAGGGAAGAACAUAUGUGUAAGUAACUGUGCACAUCUUGACGGUACCUAAGCAGAAAGCCAAGGCUAAAUACGU